RNAcentral lists this ribosomal RNA (376 nucleotides) under Nematoda sp. RNAcentral describes it as "SSU rRNA". It matches the Rfam family "Eukaryotic small subunit ribosomal RNA", at positions 252 to 626 of the family's 1831-position model. Lineage: Eukaryota; Metazoa; Nematoda. The record is from RNAcentral.
CUGAAUAACUGAGCAGAUCGCUUCGGUCUCGUACCGGCGAUGUAUCCUUCAAGUGUCUGCCUUAUCAACUUUCGAUGGUAGUUUAUGUGCCUACCAUGGUUGUAACGGGUAACGGAGAAUUAGGGUUCGAUUCCGGAGAGGGAGCCUGAGAAACGGCUACCACUUCUAAGGAAGGCAGCAGGCGCGCAAAUUACCCACUCUCGGCACGAGGAGGUAGUGACGAAAAAUAACGAGACGAUUCUCUUUUGAGUAUCGUCAUCGGAAUGAGAACAAUCCAAAUCCUUUAACGAGGACCUAGCGGAGGGCAAGUCUGGUGCCAGCAGCCGCGGUAAUUCCAGCUCCGCCAGUGUAUAUCUAUGCUGCUGCGGUUAAAAAG